This 245-nucleotide non-coding RNA is filed under the name Lacticaseibacillus rhamnosus. The record is from RNAcentral. Lineage: Bacteria; Bacillati; Bacillota; Bacilli; Lactobacillales; Lactobacillaceae.
UCAAAAACGAUGAGUAGAAGAGUACCUGGAUUGUCAGUGUCAGCGAGUCUCGGUUGGUGGGAAGAGACCUCUGAUUAUCUAGUGGAAAGUAGUCUACGAGUUGCCAUUGCGACUUCGGAAGUAAUGGCUGGGAUUGCGCCCAUUACAGCAAUCGCGUAUCGCCGAAUCAGGCCGUACGCGGCGAGACCGCUUUCGGUGACGUUGGCGGUAAAGUAAGGUGGUACAGCGUGAUCCACGCCCUUAAC